Molecule: ribosomal RNA, 465 nt
Filed under: uncultured bacterium
Lineage: Bacteria
Description: partial 16S ribosomal RNA
Rfam family: Bacterial small subunit ribosomal RNA
Source: RNAcentral
GACGAACGCUGGCGGCGUGCUUAACACAUGCAAGUCGUACGGUAAGGCCCUUUCGGGGGUCCACGAGUGGCGAACGGGUGAGUAACACGUGAGUAACCUGCCCACAACUUUGGGAUAACGCUAGGAAACUGGUGCUAAUACUGGAUAUGUGCUCCUGCUGCAUGGUGGGGGUUGGAAAGCUCCGGCGGUUGUGGAUGGACUCGCGGCCUAUCAGCUUGUUGGUGGGGUAGUGGCCUACCAAGGCGGCGACGGGUAGCCGGCCUGAGAGGGUGACCGGCCACAUUGGGACUGAGAUACGGCCCAGACGCCUACGGGAUGCAGCAGUGGGGAAUAUUGCACAAGGGGCGCAAGCCUGAUGCAGCAACGCCGCGGGCGGGAUGACGGCCUUCGGGUUGUAAACCGCUUUCAGCAGGGACGAAGCUUUUUGUGACGGUACCUGCAGAAGAAGCACCGGCUAACUACGUG